Molecule: ribosomal RNA, 460 nt
Filed under: uncultured bacterium
Lineage: Bacteria
Description: partial 16S ribosomal RNA
Rfam family: Bacterial small subunit ribosomal RNA
Source: RNAcentral
CCUACGGGCGGCAGCAGUGAGGAAUAUUGGUCAAUGGGCGCGAGCCUGAACCAGCCAAGUAGCGUGAAGGAUGACUGCCCUACGGGUUGUAAACUUCUUUUAUAAAGGAAUAAAGUGAGGCACGUCUGCCUUUUUGUAUGUACUUUAUGAAUAAGGAUCGGCUAACUCCGUUCCAGCAGCCGCGGUAAUACGGAGGAUCCGAUCGUUAUCCGGAUUUAUUGGGGUUAAAGGGAGAGUAGAUGGGUUGUUAAGUCAGUUGUGAAAGUUUGCGGCUCAACCGUAAAAUUGCAAUUGAUACUGGCAGUCUUGAGUACAGUAGAGGUAGGCGGAAUUCGUGGUGUAGCGGUGAAAUGCUUAGAUAUCACGAAGAACUCCGAUUGCGAAGGCAGCUUACUAAACUGCCACUGACAUUGAUGCUCGAAAGUGUGGGUAGCAAACAGGAUUAGAUACCCCAGUAGUC